RNAcentral lists this ribosomal RNA (492 nucleotides) under uncultured bacterium. Its description in RNAcentral is "partial 16S ribosomal RNA". It matches the Rfam family "Bacterial small subunit ribosomal RNA", at positions 29 to 507 of the family's 1533-position model. The record is from RNAcentral.
AGUGAACGCUGGCGGUAGGCCUAACACAUGCAAGUCGAACGGCAGCACAGUAAGAUCUUGCUCUUACGGGUGGCGAGUGGCGGACGGGUGAGGAAUACAUCGGAAUCUACUUUUUCGUGGGGGAUAACGUAGGGAAACUUACGCUAAUACCGCAUACGACCUACGGGUGAAAGCAGGGGAUCUUCGGACCUUGCGCGAUUGAAUGAGCCGAUGUCGGAUUAGCUAGUUGGCGGGGUAAAGGCCCACCAAGGCGACGAUCCGUAGCUGGUCUGAGAGGAUGAUCAGCCACACUGGAACUGAGACACGGUCCAGACUCCUACGGGAGGCAGCAGUGGGGAAUAUUGGACAAUGGGCGCAAGCCUGAUCCAGCAAUACCGCGUGGGUGAAGAAGGCCUUCGGGUUGUAAAGCCCUUUUGUUGGGAAAGAAAAGCAGCAGGUUAAUCCCCCGCUGUUCUGACGGUACCCAACGAAUAAGCACCGGCUAACUUCGUG